This 101-nucleotide small nuclear RNA is filed under the name Sciurus vulgaris (Eurasian red squirrel). The record is from RNAcentral. Lineage: Eukaryota; Metazoa; Chordata; Mammalia; Rodentia; Sciuridae.
UUGUUUCUUCAGCAACACAUAUACUAAAGUCAGGCCUAUACAAAGAUUGGCAUGACCUCUGAGCAAGGAUGACGCAUAUUUGUGAAGUGAUUCAUAUUUUU